RNAcentral lists this ribosomal RNA (439 nucleotides) under uncultured bacterium. Its description in RNAcentral is "partial 16S ribosomal RNA". It matches the Rfam family "Bacterial small subunit ribosomal RNA", at positions 925 to 1362 of the family's 1533-position model. The record is from RNAcentral.
NACAAGCGGUGGAGCAUGUGGNUUAAUUCGAUGCAACGCGAAGAACCUUACCUAGGUUUGACAUGGACGUGGUNCCCGGGGCNAAAGCUUUGGGGACCCGCAAGGGAGCGUUCACAGGUGCUGCAUGGNUGUCNUCAGCUCGUGUNGUGANAUGUUCGGUUAAGUCCGGCAACNAGCGCAACCCUCGCCUCCAGUUACCANCGAGUAAAGUCGGGGACUNUGGAGGGACUAACCCGUUAGGGUGGGAAGGNGGGGAUGACGUCAAGUCAGUAUGGCCCUUACAUNUAGGGCUGCACACGUGCUACAAUGCCUGGUACAAAAGGAACCAAUACCGCGAGGNGGAGGAAAUCCCUAAAGCCAGGCCCAGUUCAGAUUGGAGUCUGCAACUCGACUCCAUGAAGCCGGAAUCGCUAGUAAUGGUAGAUCAGCUACGCUACCG